RNAcentral lists this ribosomal RNA (467 nucleotides) under uncultured bacterium. RNAcentral describes it as "partial 16S ribosomal RNA". It matches the Rfam family "Bacterial small subunit ribosomal RNA", at positions 28 to 507 of the family's 1533-position model. The record is from RNAcentral.
GACGAACGCUGGCGGCGUGCUUAACACAUGCAAGUCGAACGGAAAGGCCCUGCUCUUGUGGGGUGCUCGAGUGGCGAACGGGUGAGUAACACGUGAGUAACCUGCCCUUGACUUUGGGAUAACUUCAGGAAACUGGGGCUAAUACCGGAUAGGAGCUCCUGCUGCAUGGUGGGGGUUGGAAAGUUUCGGCGGUUGGGGAUGGACUCGCGGCUUAUCAGCUUGUUGGUGGGGUAGUGGCUUACCAAGGCUUUGACGGGUAGCCGGCCUGAGAGGGUGACCGACCACAUGGGGACGGGGAUACGGCCCAGACUCCUAGGGGAGGCAGCAGGGGGGAAUAUUGCACAAUGGGCGGAAGCCUGAUGCAGCAACGCCGCGUGCGGGAUGACGGCCUUCGGGUUGUAAACCGCUUUCGCCUGUGACGAAGCGUGAGUGACGGUAAUGGUAAAGAAGCACCGGCUAACUACGUG